GUGAACGCUGGCGGCGUGGCUAAGACAUGCAAGUCGAGCGAUAGAUCCUUUCGGGGAUCGAAAAGCGGCAAACGGGUGCGUAACACGUGAGCAACCUGCCCUUAAGUUGGGGAUAGCCAGCCGAAAGGCUGAUUAAUACCGAAUGUGGUCCCUCUUCGCCCUGGAGAGGGCACUAAAGCUUGAAAUGGCGCUUAAGGAGGGGCUCGCGGCCUAUCAGCUUGUUGGUGAGGUAAUGGCUCACCAAGGCUAAGACGGGUAGCUGGUCUGAGAGGAUGAUCAGCCACACUGGAACUGAGAUACGGUCCAGACACCUACGGGUGGCAGCAGUUUCGAAUCAUCCACAAUGGGCGAAAGCCUGAUGGUGCGACGCCGCGUGAGGGAUGAAGGCCUUCGGGUUGUAAACCUCUGUCGUUAAGGAGCAAAGGCUAGGUUCAUAGCCUAGUUUGAGUUAACUUAAAAAGGAAGCAGUGGCUAACUCCGU
This 481-nucleotide ribosomal RNA is filed under the name uncultured bacterium. Its description in RNAcentral is "bacterial SSU rRNA". It matches the Rfam family "Bacterial small subunit ribosomal RNA", at positions 29 to 506 of the family's 1533-position model. The record is from RNAcentral.